This 320-nucleotide ribosomal RNA is filed under the name uncultured eukaryote. Its description in RNAcentral is "partial 18S ribosomal RNA". It matches the Rfam family "Eukaryotic small subunit ribosomal RNA", at positions 1470 to 1796 of the family's 1831-position model. The record is from RNAcentral.
CCCUUAGAUGUUCUGGGCUGUACGCGUGUUACAAUCGGGAGUACAACAAGAUUGCAAAUCCUAGUGGAUGAGUGGUUCUUCGAAAUUUUCUGAAGACUGGGAUAGUUGAUUGAAAUUAUUCAACUCAAACGAGGAAUUCCUUGUAAUUGUAAUUCAUUAUAUUGUAAUGAAUACGUCCCUGCCCUUUGUACACACCGCCCGUCGCUCCUACCGAUUGAACGAUCCGGUGAAUUAUUUGGAGUAGCUCUGGAAGUUGCAGAACUUCCUAUGUCACGAAAUUUUGUAAACCUUAUCGUUUAGAGGAAGGAAAAGUCGUAACA